CGGGAGGGCCUCUGCCGGUCCCGGGGCGUGACACGUGCGCCCGAGGGAGGCUCUCGAGGACCGGUCCCAAGUCGGGGAGACCGGUCCCUCCGCGCGAAUUCUGCCCAGUGAGGGCAGUGCAAGGAUGGAAAAGUUGAGGGGUUUAAGUGCAAAUUGGCCAUCAUAUGAGGGGUGUAUAUGGGAAAUUACCCUCUCUCCCUCUCGUUCUCAUCCCCUCACUCCCUCUCAUCACUCUCCCUCUCUCUCUCUAGAAAGAGAAGAAGAACAAGAAGGAGAGGAAGGAAAAGGAGAAGAAGAAAAGGAAGAAGAAGAAGAAGGAGAACAAGGAGAAGGCUUUAAACAUCUCCC
RNAcentral lists this long non-coding RNA (348 nucleotides) under Ananas comosus (pineapple). Its description in RNAcentral is "long non-coding RNA (ACOM_LNC040325)". Lineage: Eukaryota; Viridiplantae; Streptophyta; Magnoliopsida; Poales; Bromeliaceae. The record is from RNAcentral.